CAGUAGCCACGGUAAUACGUAGGGUGCAAGCGUUAAUCGGAAUUACUGGGCGUAAAGCGUGCGCAGGCGGCUUGUUAAGACAGAUGUGAAAUCCCCGGGCUCAACCUGGGAACUGCGUUUGUGACUGGCAAGCUAGAGUGUGGCAGAGGGGGGUGGAAUUCCGCGUGUAGCAGUGAAAUGCGUAGAUAUGCGGAGGAACACCGAUGGCGAAGGCAGCCCCCUGAGCCAACACUGACGCUCAUGCACGAAAGCGUGGGGAGCAAACAGGAUUAGAUACCCCGGUAGUCCCUGUCUCUUAUAC
RNAcentral lists this ribosomal RNA (301 nucleotides) under uncultured bacterium. RNAcentral's name for it is "partial 16S ribosomal RNA". It matches the Rfam family "Bacterial small subunit ribosomal RNA", at positions 509 to 807 of the family's 1533-position model. The record is from RNAcentral.